This 1541-nucleotide ribosomal RNA is filed under the name Escherichia coli ISC7. RNAcentral's name for it is "SSU rRNA". It matches the Rfam family "Bacterial small subunit ribosomal RNA". The record is from RNAcentral. Lineage: Bacteria; Pseudomonadati; Pseudomonadota; Gammaproteobacteria; Enterobacterales; Enterobacteriaceae.
AAAUUGAAGAGUUUGAUCAUGGCUCAGAUUGAACGCUGGCGGCAGGCCUAACACAUGCAAGUCGAACGGUAACAGAAAGCAGCUUGCUGCUUUGCUGACGAGUGGCGGACGGGUGAGUAAUGUCUGGGAAACUGCCUGAUGGAGGGGGAUAACUACUGGAAACGGUAGCUAAUACCGCAUAACGUCGCAAGACCAAAGAGGGGGACCUUCGGGCCUCUUGCCAUCGGAUGUGCCCAGAUGGGAUUAGCUUGUUGGUGGGGUAACGGCUCACCAAGGCGACGAUCCCUAGCUGGUCUGAGAGGAUGACCAGCCACACUGGAACUGAGACACGGUCCAGACUCCUACGGGAGGCAGCAGUGGGGAAUAUUGCACAAUGGGCGCAAGCCUGAUGCAGCCAUGCCGCGUGUAUGAAGAAGGCCUCGGGUUGUAAAGUACUUUCAGCGGGGAGGAAGGGAGUAAAGUUAAUACCUUUGCUCAUUGACGUUACCCGCAGAAGAAGCACCGGCUAACUCCGUGCCAGCAGCCGCGGUAAUACGGAGGGUGCAAGCGUUAAUCGGAAUUACUGGGCGUAAAGCGCACGCAGGCGGUUUGUUAAGUCAGAUGUGAAAUCCCCGGGCUCAACCUGGGAACUGCAUCUGAUACUGGCAAGCUUGAGUCUCGUAGAGGGGGGUAGAAUUCCAGGUGUAGCGGUGAAAUGCGUAGAGAUCUGGAGGAAUACCGGUGGCGAAGGCGGCCCCCUGGACGAAGACUGACGCUCAGGUGCGAAAGCGUGGGGAGCAAACAGGAUUAGAUACCCUGGUAGUCCACGCCGUAAACGAUGUCGACUUGGAGGUUGUGCCCUUGAGGCGUGGCUUCCGGAGCUAACGCGUUAAGUCGACCGCCUGGGGAGUACGGCCGCAAGGUUAAAACUCAAAUGAAUUGACGGGGGCCCGCACAAGCGGUGGAGCAUGUGGUUUAAUUCGAUGCAACGCGAAGAACCUUACCUGGUCUUGACAUCCACGGAAGUUUUCAGAGAUGAGAAUGUGCCUUCGGGAACCGUGAGACAGGUGCUGCAUGGCUGUCGUCAGCUCGUGUUGUGAAAUGUUGGGUUAAGUCCCGCAACGAGCGCAACCCUUAUCCUUUGUUGCCAGCGGUCCGGCCGGGAACUCAAAGGAGACUGCCAGUGAUAAACUGGAGGAAGGUGGGGAUGACGUCAAGUCAUCAUGGCCCUUACGACCAGGGCUACACACGUGCUACAAUGGCGCAUACAAAGAGAAGCGACCUCGCGAGAGCAAGCGGACCUCAUAAAGUGCGUCGUAGUCCGGAUUGGAGUCUGCAACUCGACUCCAUGAAGUCGGAAUCGCUAGUAAUCGUGGAUCAGAAUGCCACGGUGAAUACGUUCCCGGGCCUUGUACACACCGCCCGUCACACCAUGGGAGUGGGUUGCAAAAGAAGUAGGUAGCUUAACCUUCGGGAGGGCGCUUACCACUUUGUGAUUCAUGACUGGGGUGAAGUCGUAACAAGGUAACCGUAGGGGAACCUGCGGUUGGAUCACCUCCUUA